RNAcentral lists this long non-coding RNA (864 nucleotides) under Medicago truncatula (barrel medic). RNAcentral's name for it is "long non-coding RNA (MTRU_LNC008350)". The record is from RNAcentral. Lineage: Eukaryota; Viridiplantae; Streptophyta; Magnoliopsida; Fabales; Fabaceae.
GCCUUUAAAUACAAACAUAAAAGUGUACUCAAACGAGGGAGACACUAUUUGUAAUAAAAUAUCACCAUGAUCCAAAUAUUAUUUGUGAGAAAUAUAUUGUCCACUUCUUCCUCCAUAAGUACAUGAAUCAUUGACCCCUAGUGCAUAUUGCCUCAAUAUUUUUUUUUUUUGGUUACAGAGAAAAAAAGAAAACAGAAACAGAAAAAGAAAGGAAACAAACAGAAACAGAAAAGAAGGGAAACUAGCUAGCCCCUUGGAAAGAAGGUUCCACAGGCAUCUUCCCUAAUAAGCGGUAACAUCUCUUCUGGUGCAGAAGCAUGAAAAGUCAAAACAACAUCCGUAGCCGCUCCCAUUUUAGCUAGAAAAUCGGCGCAAUGAUUCUCCUCCCGAAGAGUAUGAAAAAUAGAAGAACCGAUGAGAAUGAUCAAGUCCUUAAUAUCAUGAAUAAGAGUGGCGUAGGUAUGAAAAUUCAAAGGUGGACCGUUGAUGAGGCUGACCGAAUGGAGCGAAUCGGAGUAGCACACAAAAUCAGAUAUUCCUAGAGCUCUAACCAUGCGCAAUCCUUGAUAGAUUGCUUGCAAUUCAGCAAUAAGAAUGUCAGAACAGUCAGCAAUGUGUCCAGAGAAUCCUGAAUAUUGCCUCAAUUAAUAAUGAGCUUUUUUUCUUCUUUUUUAAGGAACAAUUAAUAAUAAUGAGCUGACUAGCCCAUAAAGUUUUGAAUUUAACUCUUGUUGUGAGUGUGAGACCUCUUGAAUGGACGACAUGUACAUCUGUAAAUACGUGAAAGUCUCGAUAAACCCCAAAUGCCUGCUCAGAUAAACUUUUAACUCCAUCAUACGUGAAAUUGUGAAUCAUUGAUAAAAA